This is a non-coding RNA of Schistosoma mansoni, 45 nucleotides long. Lineage: Eukaryota; Metazoa; Platyhelminthes; Trematoda; Strigeidida; Schistosomatidae. The record is from Rfam.
AUUCAGCUGAUGAGUCUCAAAAAGGAUGAAACGCGCGUCUUGGAU